UUUCUGAUGGCCCCAUGAGCGUGAACCUGGGCUGGUUCCGGGCAUUUCCUCCUCCAAUGGGAGAUGUUGCAGCUGUGGCCAUUGAGAUCACUGGAGGAGCACUCUUGUUCGUGGGAUUGUCUGGUUUGGAUUUGAAACUUCUAGCUUGGUUCUCAGAACCAGGGCUUUUCUCUUGCUGACCACUGGACUUCAAUGCUGAAUCUUCCAGGUUGUUGUCCUCGCUCUUGCUUGUUUUCUCCCCUGAUCCAUUCUCUUCGUGGUCCUUGACUUCCUCCAUGUACAUUUCUUCCACCAUUGGCUUCCAGAGACGAACCCGAGCAUUUAUGAACCAG
This 332-nucleotide long non-coding RNA is filed under the name Vitis vinifera (wine grape). RNAcentral's name for it is "long non-coding RNA (VVIN_LNC002433)". Lineage: Eukaryota; Viridiplantae; Streptophyta; Magnoliopsida; Vitales; Vitaceae. The record is from RNAcentral.